UCAGACGAUGCGUCAUGCAUAUCAAUAAGCGGAGGAAAAGAAACUAACAAGGAUUCCCCUAGUAACGGCGAGUGAAGCGGGAAGAGCUCAAAUUUGAAAUCUUAAAGGGUUUCCCUUUACGAAUUGUAGUUUAAAGAAGUGUUUUCUGCUGAGGUUUUGGUAAAAGUUCUUUGGAAUAGGACAUCAUAGAGGGUGAGAAUCCCGUAUUUGACCUUUACUUUCAACUUUGUGAUACACUUUCAAAGAGUCGGAUUGUUUGGGAAUGCAGUCCAAAAUGGGUGGUAAAUUUCAUCUAAAGCUAAAUAUUGGCGAGAGACCGAUAGCGAACAAGUACCGUGAGGGAAAGAUGAAAAGAACUUUGAAAAGAGAGUUAAACAGUACGUGAAAUUGUCAAAAGGGAAGCGUUUGACACCAGUGUUGUUUUUCUGAAAAUCAAUUAAAGAACUGUUUAUGCUAAGUUGUUUAGACUUUAUCAGCUAACUGUUUAGUUUUGAGCUUUUCUUUAAUGCACUUUUCAGUUAACAAGUCAACAUCAAUUUCUUUUGCUGUAAAAAAGCUUGAGGAAGGUGGCUUGAGAUUCGUCUUAAGUGUUUAUAGCCUCUUGCCUAUGCAGUCGGAGAGAUUGAGGUCUGCAGCGUAGAUCCUUCGGGGCUAAAUGCAUUUGUGCUAAGUUAUAGCAUUUUAUAGACAACUUGUUGACUAUGAUUUGUCUUGUAGCUUACUCGCUUAUGUUAUUUUACCUACGCUUAGGAUGUUGAAUCUGUGCGAGACUAC
Molecule: ribosomal RNA, 774 nt
Filed under: uncultured Neocallimastigales
Lineage: Eukaryota; Fungi; Neocallimastigomycota; Neocallimastigomycetes; Neocallimastigales
Description: partial large subunit ribosomal RNA
Rfam family: Eukaryotic large subunit ribosomal RNA
Source: RNAcentral